AGUCACUGACAUUAAGACUACCCGGUAGUCCAGGGUGUAAACGCUGCAGACUUGGUGUUGGAAGCCCUUUGGGGGCAUUCAGUGCCGGAGAGAAGUUGUUAAGUCUGCUACUUGGGAGUACGUCCGCAAGGAUGAAACUUAAAGGAAUUGGCGGGGGAGCACCGCAACGGGAGGAGCGUGCGGUUUAAUUGGAUUCAACACCGUAAACUCACCAGGGAAGACUGUUACAUGAAGGCCGAGAUGAAGACUCUGCUAGAUUUUCAG
RNAcentral lists this ribosomal RNA (264 nucleotides) under uncultured archaeon. RNAcentral's name for it is "partial 16S ribosomal RNA". It matches the Rfam family "Archaeal small subunit ribosomal RNA", at positions 715 to 982 of the family's 1478-position model. The record is from RNAcentral.